RNAcentral lists this ribosomal RNA (706 nucleotides) under uncultured bacterium. Its description in RNAcentral is "bacterial SSU rRNA". It matches the Rfam family "Bacterial small subunit ribosomal RNA", at positions 88 to 792 of the family's 1533-position model. The record is from RNAcentral.
AAGUAAAGUGGCGGACGGGUGCNUAACGCGUAGACAACCUGCCCUUGAGCGGGGGAUAACCACGGGAAACUGUGGCUAAUACCGCAUAACGUCCGGAUCCCGCAUGGGAACCGGAUCAAAGUCUUCGGACGCUCAGGGAUGGGUCUGCGUCGGAUUAGCUCGUUGGUGAGGUAACGGCUCACCAAGGCAACAAUCCGUAGCUGGUCUGAGAGGAUGAUCAGCCACACUGGCACUGAGACACGGGCCAGACUCCUACGGGAGGCAGCAGUGGGGAAUCUUAGGCAAUGGGGGAAACCCUGACCUAGCCAUGCCGCGUGGAGGAAGACACCCCUACGGGGCGUAAACUCCUUUUCUGCCGGAAGAAAACCCUGUUUUGCAGGGCGUGACGGUACGGCAGGAAUAAGCACCGGCUAACUCCGUGCCAGCAGCCGCGGUAAUACGGAGGGUGCAAGCGUUGUCCGGAAUCACUGGGCGUAAAGGGUGUGUAGGUGGGGCAGCAAGUCAGAGGUGAAAGCCCACGGCUUAACCGUGGAAGUGCCUUUGAAACUGCUGUUCUUGAGUCCUGGAGAGGUUGCCGGAAUUCGUGGUGUAGCGGUGAAAUGCGUAGAUAUCACGAGGAACACCAGAGGCGUAAGCGGGCAACUGGACAGGUACUGACACUGAGGCACGAGAGCGUGGGGAGCAAACAGGAUUAGAUACCCUGGUA